GGGCGUGUAGCUCAGUUGGUUAGAGCGCGCGGUUCACGUCCGCGAGGUCUGUGGUUCAAAUCCACACACGCCCA
Molecule: transfer RNA, 74 nt
Filed under: Candidatus Parcubacteria bacterium 4484_255
Lineage: Bacteria; Candidatus Parcubacteria
Description: tRNA-Val
Rfam family: tRNA
About the family: Transfer RNA (tRNA) molecules are approximately 80 nucleotides in length. Their secondary structure includes four short double-helical elements and three loops (D, anti-codon, and T loops). Further hydrogen bonds mediate the characteristic L-shaped molecular structure. tRNAs have two regions of fundamental functional importance: the anti-codon, which is responsible for specific mRNA codon recognition, and the 3' end, to which the tRNAs corresponding amino acid is attached (by aminoacyl-tRNA synthetases). tRNAs cope with the degeneracy of the genetic code in two manners: having more than one tRNA (with a specific anti-codon) for a particular amino acid; and 'wobble' base-pairing, i.e. permitting non-standard base-pairing at the 3rd anti-codon position.
Source: RNAcentral